This 973-nucleotide ribosomal RNA is filed under the name uncultured bacterium. Its description in RNAcentral is "bacterial SSU rRNA". It matches the Rfam family "Bacterial small subunit ribosomal RNA", at positions 8 to 1015 of the family's 1533-position model. The record is from RNAcentral.
AGAGUUUGAUCAUGGCUCAGAAUCAACGCUGGCGGCGCGCCUAACACAUGCAAGUCGAACGGGAAAGUGGGCAACCAUGAGUACAGUGGCGUACGGGUGAGUAGCACGUGGGUAAUCUACCUCUUAGUGGGGAAUAACCCUGGGAAACCGGGGCUAAUACCGCAUGAGCUCGAGAGAGGAAAGCAGCAAUGCGCUGAGAGAGGAGCCCGCGGCCGAUUAGCUAGUUGGUAGGGUAAAAGCCUACCAAGGCAAAGAUCGGUAGCCGGCCUGAGAGGGCACACGGCCACACUGGCACUGAAACACGGGCCAGACUCCUACGGGAGGCAGCAGUGGGGAAUCUUGCACAAUGGGGGAAACCCUGAUGCAGCGACGCCGCGUGAGCGAUGAAGCCCUUCGGGGUGUAAGGCUCUUUCGGCAGGGAAGAUGAUGACGGUACCUGCAGAAGCAGCUGCGGCUAACUACGUGCCAGCAGCCGCGGUAAUACGUAGGCAGCAAGCGUUGUUCGGAGUUACUGGGCGUAAAGGGUGUGUAGGCGGUUCUUUAAGUUUGGUGUGAAAUCUCCCGGCUCAACCGGGAGGGUGCGCCGAAUACUGAGGGACUCGAGUGCGGGAGAGGAAAGUGGAAUUCCUGGUGUAGCGGUGAAAUGCGUAGAUAUCAGGAGGAACACCGGUGGUGUAGACGGCUUUCUGGACCGUAACUGACGCUGAGACACGAAAGCGUGGGUAGCAAACAGGAUUAGAUACCCUGGUAGUCCACGCCCUAAACGAUGCAUAUUUGGUGUGGGCAGUUCAUUCUGUCCGUGCCGGAGCUAACGCGUUAAAUAUGCCGCCUGGGGAGUACAGUCGCAAGGCUGAAACUCAAAGGAAUUGACGGGGGCCCGCACAAGCGGUGGAGCAUGUGGUUCAAUUCGACGCAACGCGAAGAACCUUACCUGGGCUCGAACGGGUAGUCAACGGAGUGGAAACAUCUUUAC